GAUGAACGCUGGCGGCGUGCCUAAUACAUGCAAGUCGAGCGAGCGGACGCUACGCUUGCUUCUCUGAUGUUAGCGGCGCACGUGUGAGUCACACGUGUAUCCCCUCCCUAUCUGACUGGGAUCACUUCGGGACACCGGCGCUAAUACCGUAUAAUAUUUUGCACCGCAUUGUUCAAAAGUGAAAGACGGUCUUGCUGUCACUUCUCGCUGCAUCCGCGCUGCAUUAGCUAGUUGGUACGGUAACGGCUUACCAAGGCAACGAUGCAUAGCCGACGUGAGAGGGGGAUAGGCCACACUGGAACUGAGACACGGUCAAGAGGACUAAGGGAGGCAGCAGAAGGGAAUCGGCCGCAAUGGGCGAAAGUCUGACGGAGUAACGCCGCGUGAGUGAUGAAGGUCUUCGGAGCGGAAAAAUCGGUUAUUAGGGAAGAACAGAUGUGGAAGGAAAUGUGCAGAGAGUGACGGUACCGAAUCAGAAAGCAACGGCUAACUACGUG
RNAcentral lists this ribosomal RNA (497 nucleotides) under uncultured bacterium. RNAcentral's name for it is "partial 16S ribosomal RNA". It matches the Rfam family "Bacterial small subunit ribosomal RNA", at positions 28 to 507 of the family's 1533-position model. The record is from RNAcentral.